UACGUAGGGUGCGAGCGUUAAUCGGAUUUACUGGGCGUAAAGUGUGCGCAGGCGGCCCGUUAAGACAGGUGUGAAAUCCCUGGGCUCAACCUAGGAAUUGCGCUUGUGACUGGCGGGCUCGAGUACGGUAGAGGGGGGUGGAAUUCCUGGUGUAGCAGUGAAAUGCGUAGAGAUCAGGAGGAACACCGAUGGCGAAGGCAGCCCCCUGGGCCUGUACUGACGCUCAUGCACGAAAGCGUGGGGAGCAAACAGG
RNAcentral lists this ribosomal RNA (253 nucleotides) under uncultured microorganism. Its description in RNAcentral is "partial 16S ribosomal RNA". It matches the Rfam family "Bacterial small subunit ribosomal RNA", at positions 524 to 776 of the family's 1533-position model. The record is from RNAcentral.